This 508-nucleotide ribosomal RNA is filed under the name uncultured bacterium. RNAcentral's name for it is "partial 16S ribosomal RNA". It matches the Rfam family "Bacterial small subunit ribosomal RNA", at positions 28 to 523 of the family's 1533-position model. The record is from RNAcentral.
GAUGAACGCUAGCUACAGGCUUAACACAUGCAAGUCGAGGGGAAACGACAUCGAAAGCUUGCUUUUGAUGGGCGUCGACCGGCGCACGGGUGAGUAACGCGUAUCCAACCUGCCCACCACUUGGGGGUAACCUUGCGAAAGUAAGACUAAUACCCAAUGAUAUCUCUAGAAGACAUCUGAAAGGGAUUAAAGAUUUAUCGGUGAUGGAUGGGGAUGCGUCUGAUUAGCUUGUUGGCGGGGUAACGGCCCACCAAGGCGACGAUCAGUAGGGGUUCUGAGAGGAAGGUCACCCACAUUGGAACUGAGACACGGUCCAAACUCCUACGGGAGGCAGCAGUGAGGAAUAUUGGUCAAUGGGCGAGAGCCUGAACCAGCCAAGUAGCGUGCAGGAUGACGGCCCUAUGGGUUGUAAACUACUUUUAUAAGGGAAUAAAGUGGGAGUCGUGACUCUUUUUGCAUGUACCUUAUGAAUAAGGACCGGCUAAUUCCGUGCCAGCCGCCGCAGUAA